GCCCAGGUGGCGAAAUUGGCAGACGCGCUAGGUUCAGGUCCUAGUGGGGCUAAACACCCCGUGGAGGUUCAAGUCCUCUCCUGGGCA
RNAcentral lists this transfer RNA (87 nucleotides) under Planctomycetota bacterium. Its description in RNAcentral is "Planctomycetes bacterium (groundwater metagenome) tRNA-Leu". It matches the Rfam family "tRNA". Rfam says of the family: Transfer RNA (tRNA) molecules are approximately 80 nucleotides in length. Lineage: Bacteria; Pseudomonadati; Planctomycetota. The record is from RNAcentral.